RNAcentral lists this ribosomal RNA (198 nucleotides) under Triticum aestivum (bread wheat). Its description in RNAcentral is "partial small subunit ribosomal RNA". The record is from RNAcentral. Lineage: Eukaryota; Viridiplantae; Streptophyta; Magnoliopsida; Poales; Poaceae.
AUGGCACCUUGCCCAUAUCGGGUGAGCGCUUUCAAGAAGGCAGUUAGGAUGUUUGCAGAGAACCCGAGCAAUAAUGUUAUCACUCCAGCGCUUGGGACAAGUGUCGACUCACUUGGCGAGGCGUACAAUUUAUAGGACUUGUAUUCUUGGGAAAGGGGUUUUUGGAUUUGACAUGGAAAGAGCAGAUUGAAUGUUUAG